Molecule: ribosomal RNA, 492 nt
Filed under: uncultured bacterium
Lineage: Bacteria
Description: partial 16S ribosomal RNA
Rfam family: Bacterial small subunit ribosomal RNA
Source: RNAcentral
AGUGAACGCUGGCGGUAGGCCUAACACAUGCAAGUCGAACGGCUGCACAGUAUGAGCUUGCUCUUACUCGUGGCGAGUGUCGGACUGGUGAGUAAUACAUCUGAAUCUACUUUUUCUUUUGUGAUAACUUAGUGAAACUUACGCUAUUACCGCAUACGACCUACGGUUUAAAUCAUGGGAUCUUCGGACCUUGCGCGAUUGAAUCAGCCGAUGUCGGAUUAGCUAGUUGGCGGGGUAAAGGCCCACCAAGGCGACGAUCCGUAGCUGAUCUGAGAGGAUGAUCAGACAGACUGGAAGUGAGAGACGGAGAAGACUCCUAAGGGAGGCAGCAGUAGGGAAAAUUGGACAAUAGGAGAAAGAGGAAGCAAGGAAUACCGCGAGGGAGAAGAAGGGCUUAGGGUUGUAAAGCGCUGCUGUUGGGAAAGAAAAGCAGAAGGUUAAUACCCCGCUAAACUGACGGCACCAAAAGAAUAAGCACCGGCCAACUUCGUG